RNAcentral lists this ribosomal RNA (253 nucleotides) under uncultured bacterium. Its description in RNAcentral is "partial 16S ribosomal RNA". It matches the Rfam family "Bacterial small subunit ribosomal RNA", at positions 524 to 776 of the family's 1533-position model. The record is from RNAcentral.
UACGAAGGGGGCUAGCGUUGUUCGGAAUUACUGAGCGUAAAGGGCGCGUAGGCUGUGCUGUAAGUCAGGCGUGAAAGCCCCGGGCUCAACCUGGGAAUUGCGCUUGAUACUGCGGCGCUGGAAGGUGGGAGAGGAUGGCGGAAUUCCCAGUGUAGAGGUGAAAUUCGUAGAUAUUGGGAAGAACACCGGUGGCGAAGGCGGCCAUCUGGCCCACAAUUGACGCUGAGGCGCGAAAGCGUGGGGAGCAAACAAG